Molecule: transfer RNA, 71 nt
Filed under: Scleropages formosus (Asian bonytongue)
Lineage: Eukaryota; Metazoa; Chordata; Actinopteri; Osteoglossiformes; Osteoglossidae
Rfam family: tRNA
About the family: Transfer RNA (tRNA) molecules are approximately 80 nucleotides in length. Their secondary structure includes four short double-helical elements and three loops (D, anti-codon, and T loops).
Source: Rfam by way of RNAcentral
CAGGUGGUAGCUUAGUGGUUAGAGCUACUGCCUCUGGACCCGAAGGUUGCGGGUUCAAUUCCCACCCCUGG